RNAcentral lists this ribosomal RNA (253 nucleotides) under uncultured bacterium. RNAcentral's name for it is "partial 16S ribosomal RNA". It matches the Rfam family "Bacterial small subunit ribosomal RNA", at positions 524 to 776 of the family's 1533-position model. The record is from RNAcentral.
UACAGAGGGUGCGAGCGUUAAUCGGAAUUACUGGGCGUAAAGCGCGCGUAGGCGGCUUUUCAAGUCGAUUGUGAAAUCCCCGGGCUUAACCUGGGAACUGCAGUCGAGACUGUCUAGCUAGAGUAUGGGAGAGGGAAGUGGAAUUUCAGGUGUAGCGGUGAAAUGCGUAGAUAUCUGAAGGAACACCGGUGGCGAAGGCGGGUCUCUGGGCCGUAACUGACGCUGAGGAGCGAAAGCGUGGGGAGCGAACAGG